RNAcentral lists this ribosomal RNA (399 nucleotides) under uncultured bacterium. RNAcentral describes it as "bacterial SSU rRNA". It matches the Rfam family "Bacterial small subunit ribosomal RNA", at positions 358 to 774 of the family's 1533-position model. The record is from RNAcentral.
GGAAUAUUGGACAAUGGGGGCAACCCUGAUCCAGCAAUGCCGCGUGAGUGAUGAAGGCCUUAGGGUUGUAAAGCUCUUUUACCAGGGAUGAUAAUGACAGUACCUGGAGAAUAAGCUCCGGCUAACUCCGUGCCAGCAGCCGCGGUAAUACGGAGGGAGCUAGCGUUGUUCGGAAUUACUGGGCGUAAAGCGCACGUAGGCGGUUACUCAAGUCAGAGGUGAAAGCCCGGGGCUCAACCCCGGAACUGCCUUUGAAACUAGGUAACUAGAAUCCUGGAGAGGUGAGUGGAAUUCCGAGUGUAGAGGUGAAAUUCGUAGAUAUUCGGAAGAACACCAGUGGCGAAGGCGGCUCACUGGACAGGUAUUGACGCUGAGGUGCGAAAGCGUGGGGAGCAAACA